AGCGCAGUGACAGUACAGUAUCAUAGCCAAUGAGGUUUAUCCGAGAUGUGAUUAUUGCUAAUUGAAACCUUUUCCCAAUACCCCACCAAGAUGACUUGAAAUAUAGUCAGCAUUGGCAAUUUUUGACAGUCUUUACAGAGA
RNAcentral lists this small nuclear RNA (141 nucleotides) under Carlito syrichta (Philippine tarsier). Its description in RNAcentral is "U4 spliceosomal RNA (ENSTSYG00000023441.2)". It matches the Rfam family "U4 spliceosomal RNA". From Rfam's summary of the family: U4 small nuclear RNA (U4 snRNA) is a component of the major U2-dependent spliceosome. The record is from RNAcentral. Lineage: Eukaryota; Metazoa; Chordata; Mammalia; Primates; Tarsiidae.